This 752-nucleotide long non-coding RNA is filed under the name Gossypium barbadense (sea-island cotton). Its description in RNAcentral is "long non-coding RNA (GBAR_LNC014973)". The record is from RNAcentral. Lineage: Eukaryota; Viridiplantae; Streptophyta; Magnoliopsida; Malvales; Malvaceae.
GGUGGUUGAGAGACUAAUACAGAUUUGACAAGAGGUCAAGUUCAACGAAUGAAGAUUCGACAAGUCAUUAGAGUUAUGAUGCCAAUUUUAUUUGGAAGGUAAGAGUACUCAUAUAAGCAUCCUUAUGAUUCCUAUGAACAUGCAACCGAGAUGGGUAGCUACAAUCAAGGGUGGUUGGAUAAUUAUCUUACAUAUGAUUUGUAUUCUCCAUAUUACUUUUAGAGAAUGACGAGUAUACUAAAGAUCCAUCCUUUGCUACACAGGUUGGAUUAUUGGAGGAUAACAUGUCUUAAUGCCAAGCUACUAUGUCCAAUACGUUGGAGCAAUUAUUGAAAGUAGUCCAACCUGAGCUAAAAUGAGCACUCCAGUGGAAGAGAUCGAGCAUGAGGUUCCCAAACUUGAAUAGGAGACCUACCUUACCAUAGUUGAAUAUGACAUGUUUAAUAUGGAUGUUCAACAAGAGUUCAGAGUUGAAGAUCGUGACGAGAUCAUGAGAAAUGAAGAUGAUAUCUUUACUCCGAUUGACAGAAGAGUAGGAGUAGAGUUAGAUGCAAAGGAAGGGUUAAACCUGGAAUUAAAUGAAAGUGUGAAGGAGCCAACACACUUUCCGACUACCGUUAUGGAGAAAUAAAUCGACAUACGUCACGAUCAUAUAUAUUUUUAGUUCACCCAAUACUAACUUUUAAUAAACAAAAUGAUCACAAGAGUAUGGAAUUGCAUGAAGAAUUUCGACGCUGUGGAUUGAAGCUACC